This 519-nucleotide ribosomal RNA is filed under the name uncultured eukaryote. Its description in RNAcentral is "SSU rRNA". It matches the Rfam family "Eukaryotic small subunit ribosomal RNA", at positions 1161 to 1699 of the family's 1831-position model. The record is from RNAcentral.
AGGGCACCACCAGGAGUGGAGCCUGCGGCUUAAUUUGACUCAACACGGGAAAACUCACCCGGCCCGGACACUGGAAGGAUUGACAGAUUGAGAGCUCUUUCUUGAUUCAGUGGGUGGUGGUGCAUGGCCGUUCUUAGUUGGUGGAGUGAUUUGUCUGGUUAAUUCCGAUAACGAACGAGACUCUAGCCUACUAAAUAGAUCGUCGGCUUACAAACGCCGGCGAGACUUCUUAGAGGGACAGGCGGUGAUUCAACCGCACGAAGCAGAGCAAUAACAGGUCUGUGAUGCCCUUAGAUGUCCGGGGCCGCACGCGCGCUACACUGAAGUGAUCAGCGUGCUUUUUCAACCUACUCUGUCAAGAGUGGGGAACCCAAUGAACCUUCUUCGUGAUUGGGAUAGGGGAUUGUAAUUAUUCCCCUUGAACGAGGAAUUCCCAGUAAGCGCGAGUCAUAAGCUCGCGUUGAUUACGUCCCUGCCCUUUGUACACACCGCCCGUCGCUACUACCGAUUGAAUGUUUU